UGUAACCAGGUUCCUUCUCACUUUAACGGAAGCCUUGCAACUCAGUCUACCUUUUAACGGUAGGCAACACGAGUCUGUUGCUGAGAGUCUUUAACUAUAAGUUAUCAGCAGUUGAGUAUUACCCAUACUUGAUUCACAGAUUAAAUACUCGUGGCAAUCGAUUCGCUUGAAAAAGCGAUUGUUCAGAUAUAAUCGGUCUAAUCUUGCAAGAGAUUAAAGAAUACGUUCCGUAGGUGAACCUGCGGAAGGAUCAUUACUGAGUUAGGGUUCCUUGUGAGCCCGACCUCCAACCCUUUGUUAAUACCACUUUGUUGCUUUGGCAGGCCCGCUUUCGGGCCGCUGGAGGGGUUUAGUCACCUCUGGCCAGUGCUUGCCAGUAGCCAAAUCAAAUUCUUUUAAUUAUGUCGUCUGAUUCUUUAAUUAAAAUUUAAUUAAAACUUUCAACAACGGAUCUCUUGGUUCUGGCAUCGAUGAAGAACGCAGCGAAAUGCGAUAAGUAAUGUGAAUUGCAGAAUUCAGUGAAUCAUCGAAUCUUUGAACGCACAUUGCGCCCCUUGGUAUUCCGAGGGGCAUGCCUGUUCGAGCGUCAUUAUCAACCAUCAAGCCCGGCUUGUUAUUGGGUUCUUAUCGUUAAAACCGAUUGGCCCGAAAGAUAAUGGCGGUGUCAAAAUAGACCCCAGGUGCAGCGAGCUAUAAGCAUACACUGAGGUGGUCGUUUUGGCCCGGUCUUAACUAUAUUAUAUUCUAAGGUGACCUCGGA
RNAcentral lists this unclassified non-coding RNA (760 nucleotides) under Chaetothyriomycetidae sp. MK1-2020. Its description in RNAcentral is "sequence contains 18S rRNA gene, ITS1, 5.8S rRNA gene, ITS2, 28S rRNA gene". The stretch from base 436 to 589 matches the Rfam family "5.8S ribosomal RNA". The record is from RNAcentral. Lineage: Eukaryota; Fungi; Ascomycota; Eurotiomycetes.